Molecule: ribosomal RNA, 880 nt
Filed under: uncultured bacterium
Lineage: Bacteria
Description: bacterial SSU rRNA
Rfam family: Bacterial small subunit ribosomal RNA
Source: RNAcentral
GUUUGAUCAUGGCUCAGAACGAACGCUGGCGGCGCGUCUUAAGCAUGCAAGUCGAGCGGCAGGGGGCAGCAAUGCUCCCGAGAGCGGCGGACUGGUGAGUAACGCGUGGGUGAUCUACCCUUGGGAUGGGGAUAGCCAUUAGAAAUAGUGGGUAAUACCGAAUACGCUCGCGUGACUAUGGUCGUGCGAGGAAAGGUCCUACGGGACCGUCCAAGGAUGAGCCUGCGGCCCAUUAGCUAGUUGGCGGGGUAAAAGCCCACCAAGGCGAUGAUGGGUAGCCGGCCUGAGAGGGUGUACGGCCACAUUGGGACUGAGAUACGGCCCAAACUCCUACGGGAGGCAGCAGCUAUGAAUAUUCCGCAAUGGGCGAAAGCCUGACGGAGCGACGCCGCGUGGACGAAGAAGGCCGAAAGGUUGUAAAGUCCUUUUGCCGGGGAAGAAUAAGGGCGGGAGGGAAUGCCCGCCUGAUGACGUGAACCGGUGAAUAAGCCCCGGCUAACUACGUGCCAGCAGCCGCGGUAACACGUAGGGGGCGAGCGUUGUUCGGAAUUAUUGGGCGUAAAGGGCAUGUAGGCGGUUACGUAAGCCCGGCGUAAAAUACCAUGGCUUAACCAUGGGGCUGCGUCGGGAACCGCGUGACUUGAGUUACCGAGAGGAAACCAGAAUUCCAGGUGUAGGGGUGAAAUCUGUAGAUAUCUGGAAGAAUACCAGAGGCGAAGGCGGGUUUCUAGCGGAUGACUGACGCUGAGGUGCGAAAGCGUGGGGAGCGAACAGGAUUAGAUACCCUGGUAGUCCACGCUCUAAACGAUGUGCACUAGGUGCUGGGGCAGGAGCUUCGGUGCCGUAGUUAACGUGUUAAGUGCACCGCCUGGGGAGUAUG